AUGGCAGAACAGCCAGGGAGUGUCAGUCAUCCUCCCAUCGUUGAGUCAACAAGCACCCAUCCAGUGCAUAGGAUUAGACUGGAUUCAGGUCCUUUCCUUGUCUAUUUGUGGUGGCCAUAUUUGGCAGAGGAUCAAAGGCCCAAAACAACCUGUUGAGUAAAUUGUUUUUAACAUCACACUCCUGGAUAAUGGCUCCACCAACAUGCAGUCAGCACCAAGCUGCUGGUGUUUGCAGGGGCUCCUUUAAGUAAAGCUGAAAUUCUGGGUUCAUUUACCUGGUAGUAAGCCUCACUGAAAACACUGGAAUUUCUGAGUAGGGAGUGGGGAGAAAUUCAAUUCAGUUUGCUUUGAAAGGUGAAGUUGCUUCAUUCACACUUUUCCCAGAACAAGAUGUGAACAGAAAUGCAGCCAUCAUUUGACAUUCACACUUAUCCAAAUUUUCCAGUGCAGUUCUCUAUCCAAAUACAGUGGUACCUCAGUUUAAGAAUGAUUUGGUUUACAAACUCUGCAAAACCGGAAAUAGUGUCUUGGUUUGAGAACUUUACCUCGGUCUAAGAACAGAAUCUGAACGGCGGAAGGGCACCGGCAGGAGGCCUCAAGGGAAAGCGCGCCUUAGUUUAAGAACGGUUUUGGUUUAAGAAUGGACUUCCAGAAUGGAUUAAGUUUGUAAACUGAGGUACCACUGUAAUGUGCACAAAAAUACUUAUGCUGGGGUAAAGUGUGCUUUACAGUUAGUGGAAAUAACACCCCAAUAUGUGUUGUGCUAGGCAAAAUUGCAAAAUUGCAUACUAAAAUGUGUAUGUUUUGGAGAAACUGACACUCAAUUGCUGGUGUGUGUGUGUGUUUUGAGGGGGGCUUUAUUUUUGCAAACUGUUGUGGAAAUGUGGACAGCUGAAUUUAAGACGGGGAAAGCAAUGAACUGAGAAAACUGACAUAUUCUCCCAUCCCUUCCUCUGAGCAAACAUGCUUUAGGAUUACACUGUAAGCCUUUGUAAUUCUAACACAUAUAGCAGGUCCUGUUUUCGAAACACCCUAUUUCACCAGCCUAUCCAUAAAAUGAAAUGUUUUGACGACUGAUCAUCUGGGGCCUGCAAUUAUGUGAGUGGCUGAUGUGAAAUCAUGAGGCUGUAAUGGACUGGGGAGGGGGGGAGGGAGAGAACUACCUAAUUUAGGCAAAGCAGCAAAGCAGGGGCUCCCUGACCCGACAAAAAACCCCCACAAAAUUCUGAAAGAAUUUGGCAUAUGAUAUUUCAAAGGGGGGAAAGCAUCAAAGUAGUCAUUGGGAAAGAUUUAUUACACCUACUUACACGGCACUAGAUUUUUCUGUUCUUUUUUUAUUACUUAUCCCACCUGUACCAGGGACCAUCCUGUCAACAUAGAUGGAAAUAAUGGAAAGAAAUCAGAUCCUAUCAAGCUUAGUAAUAAAUUGAUGUUUUAUUAUUAAAGAUUUAUUCUUAUGAGUUAUACAAACUUUGUUUCUUUCCCCUUUCUAAUCUAUAUAUGCAGAAAAACAGAAUACGCUGCGUAAGUUGUUUUGUUUAUUGUUUUUAUUAUGAAUUGCAUAUAGAGAGCGGGGAGAUGCCAUGAUCUUUUCAGCGCUUAGGGCUUCUAAAGGCAGCUUCCGGUGUUACAGUUUUGAUUAAACAAAAAACAAAACAAAACAAUGGGUAAAAUUAAUCACACCAGAAGGAUGGAGAUUGGGCAGUUAAGCAAAAGGCUCCAUAGGUCAGGUGAGUCUGAGGAAUUAUUUGAUUAGGCAGGUGGGAAAGGGGUGGCACCAUCAAGGUCUUCUGCAAGAUAAUUCCAAAUUGGCAAGACAGGGCUGGUGGGAUUGCUUGAGGACGGAAGAAACCUCUGGACUGUGGAACCUGGUGAAGUCUAAGGAGCAAAGGUAAGACUCUAGAGACCAGUGAAGAUAUUGGAAGUGGGGGAGCUAACAGCAGCAUGGCUGAGGACUGAGUGGCUCCAAGUAAGGCUGAAGACUUUGUGCUGGAUACAGGAACAGGCAGGAAGCCAAUGCAGGGUUUGAUUUGAGGAGGCGGGGUUUUCUACAAAGCUGCUCAGGCACAACCUUGAUUGGGUCAGCAAAGAGGAGCACCUGUUUUUGAAAAACUGAAAGUGGGGUUUUCUACAAAGCUGCUCAGGUUCAUUUCCUCAUUUGCAUCCUGAAUUAGAAGAACCAUCUCCUGAAGUGGUCCAGUUUGUGGAAAUAUUGUAGCCAAAGAAGUUUUCUUUAGGAGUCAGGCAAUUGGGUAAGUGAUAUUGCAACUCUCUUAAGCUAUUAAUAUUACUUAUAGGUUUCCUAAACACAUUUACUUGGAAGUGAGGACCUCUGACUUCAAUGAGGGUUUCUCCCCUGUAAAUGUGCUGCUGUCUUAGCUAUUGACCUUAACCUCUUUAAUGGGCCUUUUGUUAAAGGAAACAAGAUAGGAUUUGCUAGUUACUGAGACACAAAGGGGGAAGGGAGAUUUGUUUGGCUUAGUUUCACCUUUUCAGAUUAUAUUUCUUUUUGAGAGUUCUUGAUUAUAGCAAAUAAAGACACGCCCAUACCCUGACAACUAAUUAUCUUACUAAAUUGCAAAGGUUGCAGUCUUACCUGCAGUUGGGCGUAAGCCCCCAUGAGCUGUGUUGUAAGACUGUAAAUUAAAUGGAGGCAUGGGGUGUGAGAAGCCUCGAAAAUAUGAGAAAAUAAGGCAAUAUACACCUUUUUUGGCACCAGUAUAAAUGGGUUAUUGUCUGCAAUGUUGGGUUUUGUAUGCCAGUCUAAACAGGGGGUGGUGUUCAGUGCUUGUCCUGCUCAGAGGAGAAUCAUUGAAGUUAAUAGACAUGCCUCACUUCAUUCAUGAAUUUCAGUGGGCCUUCUCCAAGUAGGACUUAGUUGAGUACAAUGCAAGAAGCAGAUUUCUAGGUCUGUGGUUGUGAGAGAGAAAAGCAUGGCAAAUAUGACCAAGUAUAUUCAUCCCAAGCAAUGUGGUUCAAUACCAAGGGAAGAGUCAUGAGACUUGUUCAGCAGCAGAUACUGUGGGGUGUCUAGAAGAAAAAGACUCUUGUUUUAGAGGGCUUGCUUUGCAUGCAGAAGGUCCCAGAUUCAGCUCCCAGCAUCUCCAAGCAGGGCUGGGAGAGGCUCCCUGCCUGAAACUGUGCAGAGCUGCUUCCAUUAGGAGCUCUAUUCUGCCAUAUACUAUGUCAAGUCAUUCCUAGAUGCGCCAAAUUGCCUGACUCUGUAUAUGGCAGCAUCUUGUGGGCAUGCUCAUUGAAGUGGAUCUUCCUUUCUGC
Molecule: long non-coding RNA, 3276 nt
Filed under: Podarcis muralis (Common wall lizard)
Lineage: Eukaryota; Metazoa; Chordata; Lepidosauria; Squamata; Lacertidae
Description: lncRNA (ENSPMRG00000019702.1)
Source: RNAcentral